RNAcentral lists this ribosomal RNA (443 nucleotides) under Limosilactobacillus fermentum. Its description in RNAcentral is "bacterial SSU rRNA". It matches the Rfam family "Bacterial small subunit ribosomal RNA", at positions 128 to 556 of the family's 1533-position model. The record is from RNAcentral. Lineage: Bacteria; Bacillati; Bacillota; Bacilli; Lactobacillales; Lactobacillaceae.
GCCCAGAAGCGGGGGACAACAUUUGGAAACAGAUGCUAAUACCGCAUAACAUCGUUGUUCGCAUGAACAACGCUUAAAAUAUGGCUUUUCGCUAUCCCUUCUGGAUGGACCUGCGGUGCAUUAGCUUGUUGGUGGGGUAACGGCCUACCAAGGCGAUGAUGCAUAACCGAGUUGACAGACUGAUAGGGCAAAAUGGGACUGAGACACGGCCCAUACUCCUACGGGAGGCAUCAGUAGGGAAUCUUCCACAAUGGGCGCAAGCCUGAUGGAGCAACACCGCGUGAGUGAAGAAGGGUUUCGGCUCGUAAAGCUCUGUUGUUAAAGAAGAACACGUAUGAGAGUAACUGUUCAUACGUUGACGGUAUUUAACCAGAAAGUCACGGCUAACUACGUGCCAUCAGCCGCGGUAAUACGUAGGUGGCAAGCGUUAUCCGGAUUUAUUG